This 303-nucleotide ribosomal RNA is filed under the name Triticum aestivum (bread wheat). Its description in RNAcentral is "partial small subunit ribosomal RNA". The record is from RNAcentral. Lineage: Eukaryota; Viridiplantae; Streptophyta; Magnoliopsida; Poales; Poaceae.
AUGCAGUGUAUACAUACAUGUUUGAUUUUUGUUCAGAAUUUGGUUCUCCUUUUAAAUAUGCAUUUCGUAUUUUCCAAAAAAAGUGGUUCAAUGGAGGUUGAGCUCCAAAGUGCCUCACCCGUGGUUUUAACUAUAUUUGAUGAAAUGGACAAGCUUACUGCUUUAAUUUUCAAAGGAGUGCAGAGAGAGUUGGAGCAAAACCAGAUGGACAUAGUAGAUUCUGGUGAGAGGCUGAGAAACUUGAAUAUGACUAGCAGUGUGUUCAUGUGUUGUUUUAGAUUUUUAAAUAUCGAAUUCACCUAA